CCUACGGGCGGCAGCAGUGGGGAAUAUUGGACAAUGGGGGCAACCCUGAUCCAGCCAUGCCGCGUGUGUGAAGAAGGCCCUCGGGUUGUAAAGCACUUUCAGUGAGGAAGAACGCCUGGUGGUUAAUACCCAUCAGGAAAGACAUCACUCACAGAAGAAGCACCGGCUAACUCCGUGCCAGCAGCCGCGGUAAUACGGAGGGUGCGAGCGUUAAUCGGAAUUACUGGGCGUAAAGCGCGCGUAGGUGGCUUGAUAAGCCGGUUGUGAAAGCCCCGGGCUCAACCUGGGAACGGCAUCCGGAACUGUCAAGCUAGAGUGCAGGAGAGGAAGGUAGAAUUCCCGGUGUAGCGGUGAAAUGCGUAGAGAUCGGGAGGAAUACCAGUGGCGAAGGCGGCCUUCUGGACUGACACUGACACUGAGGUGCGAAAGCGUGGGUAGCAAACGGGAUUAGAUACCCUUGUAGUC
RNAcentral lists this ribosomal RNA (465 nucleotides) under Vreelandella stevensii. Its description in RNAcentral is "partial 16S ribosomal RNA". It matches the Rfam family "Bacterial small subunit ribosomal RNA", at positions 338 to 795 of the family's 1533-position model. Lineage: Bacteria; Pseudomonadati; Pseudomonadota; Gammaproteobacteria; Oceanospirillales; Halomonadaceae. The record is from RNAcentral.